UUGACCUCGGAUCAGGUAGGGAUACCCGCUGAACUUAAGCAUAUCAAUAAGCGGAGGAAAAGAAACCAACUGGGAUUGCCUUAGUAACGGCGAGUGAAGCGGCAAUAGCUCAAAUUUGAAAGCUGGCACCUUCGGUGUCCGCGUUGUAAUUUGUAGAGGAUGCUUCGGCGAGGACUCCUGCCUAAGUUCCCUGGAAUGGGACGUCACAGAGGGUGAGAAUCCCGUAUGUGGCGGGCGGUCCAAGCCAUGUGAAGCUCCUUCGACGAGUCGAGUUGUUUGGGAAUGCAGCUCUAAAUGGGAGGUAAAUUUCUUCUAAAGCUAAAUACCGGCCAGAGACCGAUAGCGCACAAGUAGAGUGAUCGAAAGAUGAAAAGCACUUUGGAAAGAGAGUUAAAAAGUACGUGAAAUUGUUGAAAGGGAAGCGCUUGCAACCAGACUCGCUCGCAGUUGCUCAGCCCGCCUCUUGGUGGGUGUACUCUUCUGCGAUCGGGCCAGCAUCAGUUCGGGCGGCUGGAUAAAGGUGUCGGGAAUGUAGCACCCUUCGGGGUGUGUUAUAGCCCGGCGCGGAAUGCAGCCAGCCUGGACUGAGGAUCUCGCUUCGGCAAGGAUGCUGGCGUAAUGGUUGUAAGCGGCCCGUCU
RNAcentral lists this ribosomal RNA (639 nucleotides) under Guignardia sp. MUCC0116. RNAcentral describes it as "eukaryotic LSU rRNA". It matches the Rfam family "Eukaryotic large subunit ribosomal RNA", at positions 1 to 654 of the family's 3401-position model. The record is from RNAcentral. Lineage: Eukaryota; Fungi; Ascomycota; Dothideomycetes; Botryosphaeriales; Phyllostictaceae.